RNAcentral lists this long non-coding RNA (739 nucleotides) under Homo sapiens (human). RNAcentral describes it as "long intergenic non-protein coding RNA 408". The record is from RNAcentral. Lineage: Eukaryota; Metazoa; Chordata; Mammalia; Primates; Hominidae.
GGGAGCUCAGCUUAGAGAACAGGAAGUGGGAGCCACAUACCCCGAGCUGGCGGCUUGAGCCUGUGGUAUCUAGGCUCACCUCACUGCGGUUGGUGGAGGUGAUGGAGGUUGCAGCUUGGCCAGCAUGGUAGAAAGGUGGCAGGGCACGUCUGGCUUUUACCACCCAGUUGCUUCGAGCCAGGAGAUGGAGGAGUCAUCUGUUGCACGCUGGAGGCUGGAGCCUGCAGAUGGCAUGGUUCUGUGGCUCACCUCGCUGCAGUUGGUGGCAGAGACAGAGACUGCAGCUUGACCAGAGUGGUGGAGUGAUAUGUAUCUCAAGAGCACUCCACAACAAAGAUUCUGCCUGCAAUCCUCCACUUCAAGGUCUGUUCCAGGAAACCUGUGUAACACAGUUAUGCAUAGAGUGGUCUUAGGAAGCUGACUCUAACAUGAAAAUUUAGAGUUGGAUCUUUUGCUGACAUAUUGAAUAUUCAUAAGAGCAUAUGAUACAUUUGUCUAUCAUAAACAUGUCAUUUCAAAAAACCCUCAAAGUUGCCUUGUAGAACAUAAUUUUAAAACUAGUGUGUAGGAAUAUUUCAUAUCAGUUAUUCAGUCUUCUUAAUAUCUGAACCGAAAUUAAUCUUCCAUUCUGCUUUUAUUUAUAAAUAAUGAUUUAUUGUCAGAUUCAAUAAUUUAUAUUUUCAUUUAUUCUAAGGUAGGAAAUACCAGCAUAAAAAUAAAUUAUUUGAAACAAAUCACA